This 253-nucleotide ribosomal RNA is filed under the name uncultured bacterium. RNAcentral describes it as "partial 16S ribosomal RNA". It matches the Rfam family "Bacterial small subunit ribosomal RNA", at positions 524 to 776 of the family's 1533-position model. The record is from RNAcentral.
UACGUAGGGUGCAAGCGUUAUCCGGAAUUACUGGGCGUAAAGAGUGUGUAGGCGGUUUUUUAAGUCAAGUGUUAAAUCUGCGGGCUCAACUCGUAGGCUGCACUUGAUACUGGGAAACUUGAGAGUGGAAGGGGCAAGCGGAAUUUUCGGUGGAGCGGUAAAAUGCGUAGAUAUCGAAAAGAACACCAAUGGCGAAGGCAGCUUGCUGGGCCAUUUCUGACGCUGAGACACGAAAGCGUGGGGAGCGAUCGGG